GCACGCGUGCUACACUGAUGCCCCCAGAGAGUGUCCUAUCUUCCCUGGAGAGGUUGGGCAAUCUGCCAACCUGUGUCGUGAUGGGGAUGGAUCAUUGCAACUAUUGCUCCUAAACGAGGAAUUCCUAGUAAAAGCAGGUCAUCAACUUGCAUUGAUUGUGUCCCUGCCCUUUGUACACACCGCCCGUCGCUCCUACCGAUUGAGUGGUCCGGUGAAUAGUUUGGACCUGCUGUAGCAUCCAGUCAUGGAGCAGCACAGCCAGAAAUUCAGUGAACCUUAUCACUUAGAGGAAGGAG
RNAcentral lists this ribosomal RNA (296 nucleotides) under Gambierdiscus sp. Its description in RNAcentral is "partial 18S ribosomal RNA". It matches the Rfam family "Eukaryotic small subunit ribosomal RNA", at positions 1489 to 1785 of the family's 1831-position model. Lineage: Eukaryota; Dinophyceae; Gonyaulacales; Pyrocystaceae. The record is from RNAcentral.